RNAcentral lists this unclassified non-coding RNA (337 nucleotides) under Schizosaccharomyces pombe (fission yeast). RNAcentral describes it as "non-coding RNA, poly(A)-bearing RNA (predicted)". Lineage: Eukaryota; Fungi; Ascomycota; Schizosaccharomycetes; Schizosaccharomycetales; Schizosaccharomycetaceae. The record is from RNAcentral.
GUAAAUUGUGCUUUGUAAGCUGUUAAUUUUAGCAAGGUACCUCUUAAAGUCAUUGCUAAAAGGUCCUAGCAAAGAUGCUUAGCUUUUAAACAUUUUACUCUUCAAGUUAUUCAUCGCAAAGCCAACGUUAACGGCAUCCUGAUUUGUCUACUAUGAAGUUAUAUGAUAGAAGUUUGCUUAUGGAGGAAGCGCGUGGUCCCAAUAGCAUUAUAUAUAUGAGUAUGCAAAACAGCUGAUUUUUGUGCAAAUUCUAUCACCAUGGAUACAGGUCAAGAUAUUUUUUACGAUAACGAAGAAAUAAAAUACAUAGUCUUAAUUGUACUGUUCAAAUCUACUA